Molecule: ribosomal RNA, 292 nt
Filed under: Photobacterium pectinilyticum
Lineage: Bacteria; Pseudomonadati; Pseudomonadota; Gammaproteobacteria; Vibrionales; Vibrionaceae
Description: partial 23S ribosomal RNA
Rfam family: Bacterial large subunit ribosomal RNA
Source: RNAcentral
AGUGAAGAUGCUGCGUACCCGCGGCUAGACGGAAAGACCCCGUGAACCUUUACUACAGCUUGGCACUGAACAUUGAACCUACAUGUGUAGGAUAGGUGGGAGGCUUUGAAACCAUGUCGCUAGAUAUGGUGGAGCCGUCCUUGAAAUACCACCCUUGUAGUUUUGAUGUUCUAACGUCGCCCCGUUAUCCGGGGUGCGGACAGUGCCUGGUGGGUAGUUUGACUGGGGCGGUCUCCUCCCAAAGCGUAACGGAGGAGCACGAAGGUGGGCUAAUCACGGUCGGACAUCGUGA